Molecule: ribosomal RNA, 400 nt
Filed under: uncultured bacterium
Lineage: Bacteria
Description: partial 16S ribosomal RNA
Rfam family: Bacterial small subunit ribosomal RNA
Source: RNAcentral
UCUACGGGCGGCAGCAGUGAGGAAUAUUGGUCAAUGGACGCAAGUCUGAACCAGCCAUGCCGCGUGCAGGAAGACGGCUCUAUGAGUUGUAAACUUCUUUUAUACGAGGGUAAAAGCAGAUACGUGUAUCUCUCUGCAAGUAUCUUACGAAUAAGGGUCGGCUAACUCCGUGCCAGCAGCCGCGGUAAUACGGAGGAUUCGAGCGUUAUCCGGAUGUAUUGGGUUUAAAGGGUGCGUAGGCGGUUGGUUAAGUUAGGGGUGAAAUCCCGAGGCUCAACUUCGGAAUUGCAUUUGAUACUGUGCGGCUAGAGAGUAGUUGAGGUAAGCGGAAUGUAUGGUGUAGCGGUGAAAUGCUUAGAGAUCAUACAGAACACCGAUUGCGAAGGCAGCUUACCAAGCU